CUUGGCGACCAUAGCGUUUUGGACCCACCUGAUUUCCAUGCCGAACUCAGAAGUGAAACGAAAUAGCGCCGAUGGUAGUGUGGGGCUUCCCCAUGU
Molecule: ribosomal RNA, 96 nt
Filed under: Vibrio alginolyticus
Lineage: Bacteria; Pseudomonadati; Pseudomonadota; Gammaproteobacteria; Vibrionales; Vibrionaceae
Source: RNAcentral